CAAGAGCGUAUAUUAAAGUUGUUGCAGUUAAAAAGCUCGUAGUUGGAUUUCUGGUAUAAUGCGCCUGUCCCGGAAAUUUCUGUGUGACGGUGCGCGUUUGCCAUCCUUCUAGAAAACGUUUCUACCAUUUACUUGGCCGGACUCGCGAUCUAGAUCUUUUACUUUGAAAAAUUAGAGUGUUAAAGCAGGCAUAGCUUGAAUACAUUAGCAUGGAAUAAUAAUCUAGGACUUCGGUUCUAUUUUGUUGGUUUCUAGAAUUGAAGUAAUGAUUGAUAGGGAUAGUGGGGGUGCUAGUAUUGGCCGGCCAGAGGUGAAAUUCUUGGAUUCGGUCAAGACUAACUUAUGCGAAAGCAUUCACCAAGGAUGUCUUCUUUAAUCAAGAACGAAAGUUGGGGGAUCGAAGACGAUCAGAUACCG
RNAcentral lists this ribosomal RNA (417 nucleotides) under uncultured eukaryote. Its description in RNAcentral is "SSU rRNA". It matches the Rfam family "Eukaryotic small subunit ribosomal RNA", at positions 592 to 1017 of the family's 1831-position model. The record is from RNAcentral.